UCCAGGGUAGCCUAGUGGACAUCGCACCUGCCCGGUAAGCAGAAGGUUGUGGGUUCGAUUCCCGCCCCUGGAC
This 73-nucleotide transfer RNA is filed under the name Cordylochernes scorpioides. RNAcentral's name for it is "tRNA-Thr". It matches the Rfam family "tRNA". Rfam says of the family: Transfer RNA (tRNA) molecules are approximately 80 nucleotides in length. Their secondary structure includes four short double-helical elements and three loops (D, anti-codon, and T loops). Lineage: Eukaryota; Metazoa; Arthropoda; Arachnida; Pseudoscorpiones; Chernetidae. The record is from RNAcentral.